This 229-nucleotide unclassified non-coding RNA is filed under the name Ascomycota sp. Its description in RNAcentral is "partial contains small subunit ribosomal RNA, internal transcribed spacer 1, and 5.8S ribosomal RNA". The stretch from base 1 to 47 matches the Rfam family "Eukaryotic small subunit ribosomal RNA", at positions 1785 to 1831 of the family's 1831-position model. Lineage: Eukaryota; Fungi; Ascomycota. The record is from RNAcentral.
AAAGUCGUAACAAGGUUUCCGUAGGUGAACCUGCGGAAGGAUCAUUACCUGGCCUAGGCCGCUGCUUGUCGGCGUGCCGCUCGUGCCUACUACCUUGACUAUGCGUACCCUUGUUGUUCCCUCGGCAGUUCGCUGCCGCCAGGGACCCCUAAACCCUCAUGUAUCAGCAGUAAACUUCUGAAACAAACCUAAUUAUUUACAACUUUCAACAAUGGAUCUCUUGGUUCUG